RNAcentral lists this long non-coding RNA (1857 nucleotides) under Sus scrofa (pig). RNAcentral's name for it is "lncRNA (ENSSSCG00015012174.1)". Lineage: Eukaryota; Metazoa; Chordata; Mammalia; Artiodactyla; Suidae. The record is from RNAcentral.
AUGACUGCAGAUCUGGCUGUCAUCUGGACAGCAGCCUGAGCGACAGCCUGGGCCACAGGGCCCACGGAGUGGUGGCCAGGCUCCUGAGCCACAGACACGGUGAGUCCUGAAGGCUAAGGACUGAAUCCGGUCCCUCUCAAAUCUGCAUGUUGAAGGCCUACCCUGCACUGUGGUUAUAUUUGGAGAUGUAGCCUUUAGGGAGGUAAUUGAGAUUAAAACUGAGGUCCAAGGGGGAGCCUGAUCUGCUAGGACUGGUGCCCUUGCCAGAGGAGCGAGACGGACACCAGGGCUGCACGUGGAGAGAAAUGUGUAUGAGGACGGUGAGAAGGUGGCCCACAAGAGAGACCGCGAGAGGAAGUGAACCUGCUGAUACCCUCAUCUCGGUUUUCUGGCUUCCAGAACCCUGAGAGAAUAAAUAAACUUCCAGUCCGUGGUGCCCUGUUAUGAUACCCUCAGCUGACUGAUACAAGCUGCUCAGUUUGGGGGUCAUUUGUUACACAGCAAAGGACGACAAAUACAACCAUCAGCCGACACUGCAUUCCCAUUCCCUCUGGGCUGGGAGCUGGGUAGAACAAGACCAAAGCCCUGGCCCAUAAGAAUGGAUCUCAGUCCACACGGAAAGACAAACACAGAAGAUGAAGUAAAAGGCUAGGGUGGGAGAAGACCCCUCAGGACGAAGACACCGCUUGGGGAGACGUGGAUGCAGGAGAGACCACGACACAUGGUCCUGCCCGCUCUGUGCUCCCCCUGGGGACACAGGCUCGGCCGUCUCAGAUACAGCAUCCUCUCCACGUUGUAGCUGAUGCGUGGACGCCGAAAGAGGUUAUGUUGGCUGAGGUCCCGAAGCUCAUCCCGGAGUCGCCAGGAUUCACGGGCAGGUCUGCAAGGGGAGAAGAGAAGAGCUCCUUGGAGGGUGUCAGCUCCUCAGGGGUCAGGCAGAGGGAGAAGCCAGGAGGGACACAGAGACACCGUGGGAAUGAUAGGAGGAGAUUAAUAUUUCCCCAGAAUCAAAGAUAAGAGCUUUUCUCGGUUGGAAUCGUGUUUGAUGCCCAAGACAGCCUACCUCAGGGAUCCGAUUUGCACUGCAGGUGGGACCUACCCCACAGUGGCAACGGCAGAUCCUUCAACCGCUGUGCUGGGCCGGGCAGAGAACCUGUGUCCCGGCGCUGCAGAGACCCGGACGAUCCCAUUGCACCACAGCAGGAACGCCAACAGUACAGCUAAGUAGAUAUUUGGACUGGGUAAGUUGUGGGCACGAGCGGGUAUGAAGAUUAUAAAUUAAUACCGUAAGAGAGCUUCCAUGGUGCUCACCGAAUCCGAAAUCUUCGUCUGAAAUCUGAAAACAUGUUUCCAAUGCAGAUGAAGCUCUCCAUCCUGCAUCCUGCAGAGGCGUCCUGCGGCUCCUGCAGACAGAAGGCAGGCAGAGGACAUGGGGAGAGGGCCAUAGGGUCCUGUUCCAUUUCAAGAAGAGAGAGAGAAACUUCUAUUAUAAUUAUUGUCUUAAGGUAAUUCUUUCUGACUUGUCUUCCAAGCCAAAAUAUCAAGGAGUGAUACUAGACAGUGUGUGGGGCCCAGAAGCCACAUACAAUUGCCAACACCCCGUUUCACUUUCACCCGGCAGCAGAGCUUUCCAGUUUAGGGCCUGAAGCUCACGUCUUUAUGAGGAAGGACACAUAUAUAAGUUCUCUUAAAGAAAGGCACCAGAUAUAUUUGCAUGUGAGAGACUGAUAAUUCCCAUAGCAAAGAGGAAACCAUACCUCAAAAAGAUACAUGCACCCCAGUGUUCAUUGCAGCACAAUUCCCCAUAGCCAAGACAAGGAAACAACUUAAAUGUCCAUCAGCAGAGGACUGGGUAAA